This 253-nucleotide ribosomal RNA is filed under the name uncultured bacterium. RNAcentral's name for it is "partial 16S ribosomal RNA". It matches the Rfam family "Bacterial small subunit ribosomal RNA", at positions 524 to 776 of the family's 1533-position model. The record is from RNAcentral.
UACGAAGGGGGCUAGCGUUGCUCGGAAUCACUGGGCGUAAAGGGUGCGUAGGCGGGUCUUUAAGUCAGGGGUGAAAUCCUGGAGCUCAACUCCAGAACUGCCUUUGAUACUGAAGAUCUUGAGUUCGGGAGAGGUGAGUGGAACUGCGAGUGUAGAGGUGAAAUUCGUAGAUAUUCGCAAGAACACCAGGGGCGAAGGCGGCUCACUGGCCCGAUACUGACGCUGAGGAGCGAAAGCGUGGGGAGCGAACAGG